GAUGAACGCUGGCGGCGUGCCUAAUACAUGCAAGUCGAGCGAACAGACGAGGAGCUUGCUCCUCCGACGUUAGCGGCGGACGGGUGAGUAACACGUGGAUAACCUCCCUAUAAGACUGGGAUAACUUCGGGAAACCGGAGCUAAUACCGGAUAAUAUAUUGAACCGCAUGGUUAAAUAGUGAAAGACGGUUUUGCUGUCACUUAUAGUUGGUUCCGCGCCGCAUUAGCUAGUUGGUAAGGUAACGGCUUACCAAGGCGACGAUGCGUAGCCGACCUGAGAGGGUGAUCGGCCACACUGGAACUGAGACACGGUCCAGACUCCUACGGGAGGCAGCAGUAGGGAAUCUUCCGCAAUGGGCGAAAGCCUGACGGAGCAACGCCGCGUGAGUGAUGAAGGUCUUCGGAUCGUAAAACUCUGUUAUUAGGGAAGAACAAAUGUGUAAGUAACUAUGCACGUCUUGACGGUACCUAAUCAGAAAGCCACGGCUAACUACGUG
RNAcentral lists this ribosomal RNA (497 nucleotides) under uncultured bacterium. RNAcentral's name for it is "partial 16S ribosomal RNA". It matches the Rfam family "Bacterial small subunit ribosomal RNA", at positions 28 to 507 of the family's 1533-position model. The record is from RNAcentral.